This 253-nucleotide ribosomal RNA is filed under the name uncultured bacterium. Its description in RNAcentral is "partial 16S ribosomal RNA". It matches the Rfam family "Bacterial small subunit ribosomal RNA", at positions 524 to 776 of the family's 1533-position model. The record is from RNAcentral.
UCCGGAGGGUGCGAUCGUUAAUCGGAAUUACUGGGCGUAAAGCGUACGUAGGCGGUUGGGUAAGUCGGAUGUGAAAGCCCUGGGCUUAACCUGGGAACUGCAUUUGAUACUGCUCGGCUAGAGUAUGGGAGAGGGAAGCGGAAUUUCCGGUGUAGCGGUGAAAUGCGUAGAUAUCGGAAGGAACACCAAUGGCGAAGGCAGCUUCCUGGCCCAAUACUGACGCUCAGGUGCGAAAGCGUGGGGAUCAAACAGG